UGGGGAAUAUUGCACAAUGGGCGCAAGCCUGAUGCAGCCAUGCCGCGUGUAUGAAGAAGGCCUUCGGGUUGUAAAGUACUUUCAGCGAGGAGGAAGGUGUUGUGGUUAAUAACCGCAGCAAUUGACGUUACUCGCAGAAGAAGCACCGGCUAACUCCGUGCCAGCAGCCGCGGUAAUACGGAGGGUGCAAGCGUUAAUCGGAAUUACUGGGCGUAAAGCGCACGCAGGCGGUCUGUCAAGUCGGAUGUGAAAUCCCCGGGCUCAACCUGGGAACUGCAUCCGAAACUGGCAGGCUAGAGUCUUGUAGAGGGGGGUAGAAUUCCAGGUGUAGCGGUGAAAUGCGUAGAGAUCUGGAGGAAUACCGGUGGCGAAGGCGGCCCCCUGGACAAAGACUGACGCUCAGGUGCGAAAGCGUGGGGAGCAAACAGG
RNAcentral lists this ribosomal RNA (429 nucleotides) under uncultured bacterium. RNAcentral's name for it is "bacterial SSU rRNA". It matches the Rfam family "Bacterial small subunit ribosomal RNA", at positions 355 to 776 of the family's 1533-position model. The record is from RNAcentral. RNAcentral also lists the same sequence under 1 other name.